GAUGAACGCUAGCUACAGGCUUAACACAUGCAAGUCGAGGGGCAUCAUGUCGGUUGCUUGCAACCGAUGAUGGCGACCGGCGAAUGGGUGAGUAACGCGUAUCCAACCUGCCCCCGGCCGGGGUAUAACCCGUCGAAAGGCGGCCUAAUCCCCCAUGUAGUCCUCUGAGGUCCUCCGAUGAGGAUGAAAGGUAUUUUUCCGGCCAGUCGAUGGGGAUGCGUCCGAUUAGCUUGCUGGCGGGGUAACGGCCCACCAGGGCUUCGAUCGGUAGGGGUUCUGAGAGGAAGGUCCCCCACACUGGUACUGAGACACGGACCAGACUCCUACGGGAGGCAGCAGUGAGGAAUAUUGGUCAAUGGGCGGAAGCCUGAACCAGCCAAGUAGCGUGCAGGAUGACGGCCCU
This 403-nucleotide ribosomal RNA is filed under the name Prevotella sp. oral taxon 376. RNAcentral describes it as "bacterial SSU rRNA". It matches the Rfam family "Bacterial small subunit ribosomal RNA", at positions 28 to 418 of the family's 1533-position model. Lineage: Bacteria; Pseudomonadati; Bacteroidota; Bacteroidia; Bacteroidales; Prevotellaceae. The record is from RNAcentral.